RNAcentral lists this ribosomal RNA (458 nucleotides) under Hymenosoma hodgkini. Its description in RNAcentral is "partial 16S ribosomal RNA". Lineage: Eukaryota; Metazoa; Arthropoda; Malacostraca; Decapoda; Hymenosomatidae. The record is from RNAcentral.
CCUGCUCACUGAUAGAUAUAUUAAAGAGCUGCAGUAUUCUGACUGUGCUAAGGUAGCAUAAUAAUUAGGUUUUUAAUUAAAAUCUUGUAUGAAAGGGUAAACAAAAUUAAAACUAUUUUUAUUUAUAUAUUGAAUUUAAUUUUUAAGUUAAAAAUCUUAAAUAAAUUUAAAAGACGACAAGACCCUAUAAAGCUUUAUAUUUUAUAUAUUUUAAUUUUAAAUUUAUUAAAAUAAAUAUUAUAAUUAUUAAUAUUUUAUUGGGGAGAAUUAAAUUUAAUAUAAAUAACUUUUUUAUCAAAAAACAUAUAUAUAUGAUUGAUUUUAUAAUCCUUUAUAUAAGAAGUAAGAUUAAGUUACUUUAGGGAUAACAGCGUUAUUUUUUAGAAAGUACAUAUUUAAGAAAAUAAAUUGCGACCUCGAUGUUGAAUUAAAUUUAUAUGUGGAGCAACCCUUACAUG